GCAAUCUUCACAAAAGAUGAGUAAAUGACUUCACCAAUACAUUAACAUUUGUUUAUAAACAUUAGGAUAUGCAAAUCAAAGCAAUUACCAAUACAUUAAUUUCAACAAGUUGGCCAAGAAAAUUCAGACACACUACAAGGCUCUAUACACCACCAAAUUGGUAUAUAUAUCAACAAAUUGAGAGGUUUUAAUUGAUCAACAAGCUGAAUCAUCAUAGUGGACAAUCUCCAUUUCUACUUCCUUUCCAGGCUUAACAAUUUCUUCUUCUUCUUCUUCUUCUUCUUCCAUAGUCGACAUCUUGCUCCUCCUUAUAGCUUCCUCAAGUUUCAUUGGAGAGGGUAUCCUUGUCCUUGUCAUCUGCAAAGUUUAUAGUCUCAACAACAAAAAAAAUCAUGCCAGUCAGUCAUUGCCAUCUGUAGCAUCUCUUCAUCUUUAGUUCUCGUCUCAAGACAUUCUAGUCUUCUUCCACUCGGUGGAUUUCUUCUCAAUUCAUAGAGAAUUGCGUGGUGAAAUGAAAUGGGUUUGGGAGUGCAAGCGGUGUCGGUGUGCGGUUGGCGUCGGCCGGUGGUGCCGGUGAACGGUCGGUGUCGGCUGGUGGUGAUGGUGAGUGCUUGGGUUGGGAGCUUAGGGCCACUCAUGGUUGCGUAAAUAGGGGAAAAAUUGGAGCACAAAUGGGUUUUUGCUUUUUUGGG
RNAcentral lists this long non-coding RNA (692 nucleotides) under Olea europaea subsp. europaea. Lineage: Eukaryota; Viridiplantae; Streptophyta; Magnoliopsida; Lamiales; Oleaceae. The record is from RNAcentral.